ACGGGAGGCAGCAGUAGGGAAUAUUGCACAAUGGGGGGGAACCCUGAUGCAGCAACGCCACGUGUGGGAAGAAGCAUUUCGGUGUGUAAACCACUGUCGUGAGGGAAUAAUGCUUGGCUCCGGCCAAGUUGAAUGUACCUCGAAAGGAAGCACCGGCAAACUUCGUGCCAGCAGCCGCGGUAAUACGAGGGGUGCAAGCGUUGUUCGGAAUCACUGGGCGUAAAGGGAGCGUAGGCGGAGACGCAAGCAGUCGGUACAAUAACGGGGCCCAACCGCGGAGCUGCAGACUGGACUGUGUCUCUUGGAUAGUGCAGGGGCAGGCGGAAUUCCUGGUGUAGCGGUGGAAUGCGUAGAGAUCAGGAAGAACACCGAUGGCGAAGGCAGCCUGCUGGGGUCUCAUCGACGCUAAGGCUCGAAAGUGCGGGUAGCAAACAGGAUUAGAUACCCUGGUA
RNAcentral lists this ribosomal RNA (452 nucleotides) under uncultured Fibrobacter sp. RNAcentral describes it as "partial 16S ribosomal RNA". It matches the Rfam family "Bacterial small subunit ribosomal RNA", at positions 341 to 792 of the family's 1533-position model. The record is from RNAcentral. Lineage: Bacteria; Pseudomonadati; Fibrobacterota; Fibrobacteria; Fibrobacterales; Fibrobacteraceae.